CUCCUGGAACAAGUGGCAGGAUAAUAUCUUGUACCUGUUGGAGAGACUAUAGCCUGCAAACAGUAAGAAGAUUCCCCUCUCUUUCUCAGUGGAUGUAAAGCAGUGAUUCUGCAUAAAUGUAUCAACACUAUAGCUCAACUCCUUCUGGAGUGGACUUCCCCUAGACCUGGAGAGCGAGUCCUGCCUAGCAUACACGGCCUGAAGUUCGAGAUCUCUUCCAAUUCAGGUCAACAAGAAAACUCAAUUCCUCUUCAGGAAGUUAAGUGACUUAAAGAUUACAUAAGAGCUAAGAAGACAAGCCAGCUAAGCAUGUUCAAGACCGGGCUUUUUGAAACUGCACUAAUUGAUCAUAACGAGACGGGGUUUCACCAUGUUGCCCAGGCUGGUCUAGAAGUCCUGGGCUGAAGCGAUCCGACCGCCUCCCAAAGUGCUGGGAUUACAGGAGUGAGCCAUCUCGCCCAGCCGAAAAAGUGUUUUUUGAUCUUAAAAUCUUACGUGGAAUGAAAGUGAACAAUGAGGCAAUGAAAGUGGAAGUUUCUCUUAAGCAAACACAGAAGUCAACCAUUCCAGCUUUCUAAGGUACUGGUAAUACUCUUUCGUCUAUUUUAUUUUAUGGCAUAAUUUUAAGACUCCUGUGAGCUAUGUCUUUAGGGGAAGUUUGGGAAGGACAGGCAGAGUGUCAAUACUAAAUUAACAUCAGUUUAAUUUCCGCCCAUGGUUAUCUGGGCCUCAUUCCAGCAUUAAGACUUUCAGAAAAAACAUUGAGAUAAAGCUGUCUUUUUAUACCAACAGGUGGCAGUAUUGCUUUGAAACAAACGACAGCAACGACACCGUACUGUCCCAUUUUAAGAAACUUCUAGAUCCAUUGCAUUUCUAAAAUCUUACACUUUUAUUAGACUUCGCCUUUUUAAUUUAAUUUUAUUUGUAUUUAUUUAUUUAUUUAUUUAUUUAUUUGGAGACAGGGUCUCGCUCUGUCCCCCAGGCUGGAGUGCAGCGGCGCGAUCUCUGCUCACUGCAACCUCUGCCUCCCGGGUUCAAGCAAUUCUCCUACCUCAGCCUCCCGAGAAGCUGGGAUUACAGGCAUGCACCACCACACUCGGCUAACUUUUUGUAUUUUAGUAGAGAUGGGGUUUCACCGUAUUGCCCAGGCUAGUCUAGAAGUCCUGAGCUCAGGCAAUUCGUCCACCUCGACCUCCCAAAGGCUAGGAUUACAGCGUGAGCCACCGCGCCCGGCCUUUUUUUUGACCGUCUGGUGGCUUUGUCUCCCAGGUUGGAGUGCAGUGGCGCGAUCACAGCUCCCUGCAGCUUUGACCUCCCGGGCUCAAGCGAUCCUCCCACCUCAGCCUCCCGAGUAGCUGGGACCACAGGCCACCAUGCCCAGCUUCUAGGCUUCAACAUGCCCCCCAAAAUGACAGUGGAAUAGCCAGAUGCGGUGGUGCCAGCCUGUAGUCCCAGCUACUUGGGGGACUGAGGUGAGAAGAUCGCUCACCAGGAGGUCGAGGCUCCAGUUGGCUGAUUGUGCCACUGGGUGACAGAGCCAGAACUUGUCUCAAAAAACAAAACGAAACAAAAGUGGAUUAAAUAAAGCACAAACGUGGUAUUUGAAGAAAAUUAAAAAGGACUCACCAAUAUCGCCCGUUCAUUCAGAGCCUUGCCUUUGGAAGAAACACACACUCAUUUAUCUUCCCCCAGGAAGGCCUCUUUCCUAUCAAGUAAACCUAGAGUGAUGAUUAAUGCAGAAAAACAGGCCCCGUGUUGCAAAUGAUAAGUUUGCUUCUCUGAGAACCUCCAGAUUAGGUUACAUUCAAUUCACUAAUCUAGUCUCCAGCCUGGCAAAAAUUUACUGUGAAAACGUCUUCAAGUAAGUUUCUUUUUUACACUGACUGUUGGGAUAGGACUGGAAUCAGCGAUCACAAUUUGAUCCUAAUUUGUUGAUGUUCCCUUAAUUUUUAAAAUUUUUUGCAUGUACAUGCACUCAUGUAACCAUCACACUGAUUAAAAUAUAGAAUAUUUCUAGUACCUAAGAAGGUUUCCUAUGCUCGCUCAAACUUUAAAAUCAGAAAAAAAUAUAUUUCUCAAUUUGUGUGUUUAAAACCAAAACAAACAAAUACAAAACAUGAAGUAGAAGGGUUGGGGAUGUGAAAGGAAAAUAAAAGUUGGGGUCCCCAAAUCACUAAGCUAAAGGCAAAAGUCAAGCUGGGAACUGCUUAGGGCAAACUUGCCUUCCAUUCUGUUCAAAGUCACUCCUCUGCUCACUGAGAUAGAUGCAUAUCUGAUUGCCUCCUUUGGAAAGACUCAAAAGAAACUCAAAAGAGUGUAACCCUCCCUCCGUCACCUAUCUGCGACCUGGGAGCCCCCUCCCUGCUUCAAGUCUUCCUACCUUCACUUCAAGUUGUCCCGCCUUUCCAGACCGAACCAAUGUACUUCUUACAUAUAUUGACUGAAGCCUCAUGUCUCCUAAAAUGUAUAAAACUAAGCUGUGCUACAUCACCUUAGGCACAAGGUCAGGACUUUCUGAGGCUGCGUUACAGGCACAUCCUCAACCUUGGCAAAAUAAGCUUUCUACUCAAAUUUUCAGGGUUCACAUUUUGGUAACCAUGGAGGGAUUCUUAGUGGAGAUGGCCCUGACCUUUGACAAGUCUCCUAUUGGUGCUUGAUACCAGCAGGAGCUAACUUUAUGGCUCAAACCGAAAGAACAAUUUGCUAAGGUCUGAGGGCACCCACUCCAGAGAAUCCCUGAUUUCCCCAAAUUCAGUCAUGACCCCAACUUUAUUUUGCUGUACAACUCCUCUUUUUCUUUUGAGUUUUACUUGCUCCCAACACAAGGAAGGCAAGUUUUCUUGCUUCCAUGACGUUGAAAGGCAGGUAACUCCUUCAAGGAGUUUGAGCUCGCUUGCAACAGAGAAAAUGAGCUUGGUUUUUUGUUGUGGUUGUUUUUUCCUGCUUCUAGGGUGGUAGAGAGCAGUCUACAGCCUGAGACCCAUCACUAGGUAGGAAACUGGUUUGGGAUUCUAUCUUGCAAACUCCUUUUAAAUGACUAAAGUUAGCAUUUAACAACCAGCUGGUGUUAAUUUCUUCUUAAUACUUAGAGCGCUCAGAAAUAGUAUAUUUUUGUGUGAUCAUUGUUAGUUUAGCAGCAUUUUGUCCUAGUUGAAAUAUGGUAAUAAGAUUUAAAAAACAUUUUUAAAGGAGCUCAAUGUUAAAAAUCAACUUAAUUAAAAGGCCAUCCAAGAUGUGUGUAUGUAUGUGUGCAUGUAUGCAUCUUUGUAUUUGAAAGGUCUUCAAGUUUUUGCUUUUUGUUUGUUUUUCUCUCCUAAGACCUUGUCUUUUUUUUUUUUUGAGCAAAAGUUUUUUUUUCUUUUUCUUCUCAGUUGACUGAAUUCUGUUUUCACCUGAUUUUUUUUUUCUUUUUUACUAAAAUAGUUAUUGCAACAGAGGCUACUGUUAAGUUUUUAAGAAAGAGUGUAGUUUAAUUUUAUGUUUCAUUUGGCUCAAAAUAAAAUAAAAAACAUCUCCCUCUAGGACCACCAGACUCUUUCUCUCUGUACCUUAUGAUGUAAAUUUUGCUAUUUGAUUUUCACCUGAGUUGUUUCCUUUAGUGUGCAAAUUUAAGGCUAUUUAGCUGACAACUGCCUAGGGUUGUGAAACAGGCUAUCAAGAAUCUGAAAGUCUAAGAUAGGAAAAAAAAAGAGCGGGGUCUUUAUAAAUCUAUAAAAUGUACUUCCAUCGGCAUGCCUAAUACAUCUUUGUAUGUAUUUAUGCGCUGUGUACAAAAUGUUUCACUACUAAAAAUAUAUAAAAGAGCUCUAAUCAAUUGGCUUAAAGGAAAAUAAAAGCUCUUAAAUCAGAUACUAAAAAAUAGACUAGUCAAAUGCUUUUUCAAGUUUAUGUAACUUAAAUAAAAUCUUUAACAAAUAAGCUAGCUUUAAAAUUAUUGGUAAAGUAAUAUUAGAAAUGUCUUAAGAAUUGCCAGCAUACAGUUUUUGUUUUGCAUUUAUUAAUCAAGCAAUUCCAUACUUAUCCCUGCCAAAUGCUAUAAGGUGUCAAAAUUUGGCAUGGGAUUACGAAACUAUAAAACCAGUCCAAAACAGAAUGAUUUUUGUUUGUGUAAUUUUUAAUAAGUAAGACAUUGAUAUGGGUUUAAUGAAAAUAGCUGCAUCUUGAAUUUAGUAAGAUUACCAUAAUUUCUAAUCCUGUGGCUUUAGGCAGUCUAGUCCACAGGCAAUAAGGAAGUUUGUUUUGGGAAAGGACUGUUAUCAUUUUUGUUUCAAAGCUAAACUAUAGACUAAGUUGCUCCCGAAGUUAGUUUGGCCUAUGCCUAGGCAUGAACAAGGAUAGCUUGGAGGUUAAGAGCAGGUUGGAGUCAAUUAGGUCAAAUCUUAUUUUCACUGUCUCAGUUAUACAUAAUUUUGCAAUGGCAGUUUCAUAACUUUAAAUUCAUGACUAUCACAGUUUUCAUAAAUAAUCUAGGUAGACAAUUAAAAUAAAAUAGAUAAAUGUAAUGGGAUAAAUACUUGUAGAAAACUGGUCAUAAUUUCAUAAUUUAGAAUAUAAAGUUAUAUUAAAUUAAAUAAUAUAUAUUUCAUUAUUUGGGUAUUUUCCAAUAAAUAUAUAUUGUAGGAAAAUAUUCUUGCAAAAAAAAGUGUGACUUUUUAAAAAAAAAAAGGUGAAAAAUUUUUGUCUAAUUCGAAGCUUAUUUAAAGGUUAUAUAUAAAACAAGGUAAAAGGAACCAUGAAAUAAAAAGAGAUGUAAAGUUAUAAAAAUAAAGAGGUAUUUUUGUGUGUGUGUGGUAAGAAAGCUUAAAGAGAAAUAAUUUUAUAUGAGAAAGAAUCUUACAUGGUAAACUUCAGUCCUAAAAUAAAAUGACUGGUUGUUUAAAAAGGAGGCAUAUUCAGGACAAAUCAGAAAGUCCAAAUAUUAAGUUCUGGUUUGCUUAGGGAAAAAAACCUGAGAUUAAAAAAAAAAAUUUUUUUAAGGUUAUUAUAUCCAUGUAUUUUCCUGUAUGUUCUUUUAAAGUCCUUGUGACAUUGAGUUACAGGGUUUUGACUCCUGGAUCUAAAAAGGACACAAAGUCUUGCUAAAUCUUAAACACCAACAGCAAUUAAAGCCUCAUCUUCAGGCCCUGUAGAAGAUGCCAGUCAAAAUAAACUGCAUUUCUGCGACACAGGGCAAGAAAUUAAAGCUAUUUCAACUCCUCAAGGCCCAGGGACUAUCACAGAAGAGAUGGGCACACACGCAAUAUUGUAAGGGCCAAUUUUGAAAGAUAAAAUAAGUUAAGCUUCUUUAUAGAUGAAUCAUUAAUGUCAAAGGCACACUGAUGGAAGACCAGCAUAUGGGCCCCUGUGUCAGAUUAACAAAGUUUUCUCAAAGCAUUAACCAACUCCUUAGUGAAGGUCAUAAAGAUUAUAAAGUGCUAUGGAAGCUAUAUCUUAUGUUCAAGAUUAAAAAUUUUAUAGAUUGUUUAUAAAAUUUUGAAAAACAAAUUUAAUUGGAUUCAUGCUGUUUUUAUUAGGGCUUAUUGUUUGGAAAAUUAAGUCUCUUCUCAAAGAAUAAAGGUUCUUGCCUUUUUUUUAAAGUCCAGAAGUUAUCACUUUGGUUAAAUGAAUGACUUAUUUUACAAUGACCUGU
This is a long non-coding RNA of Homo sapiens (human), 5629 nucleotides long. RefSeq lists it as uncharacterized. The transcript is spliced from 4 exons. NCBI's taxonomy places the organism in Eukaryota, Metazoa, Chordata, Mammalia, Primates, Hominidae. The record is from RefSeq and is a predicted model, not a curated record.